AAGUUGAAAUUGCAUUCUACUAUCAAUUCUCUCAUAAAUUGGCCACAAGUCACAGGCACCCAUAGCUUUCUUUGUAAGAGGCAAGAAAUAGUGGUCCAGAUUUGGCUCAGAGGCUAUAGUUUGCCCACCCCUGCUUUAUACAACUGGAAGAAAGAUGUCAAUUACCUACCUGCCCCGAGGCAUGGAUGCUGAUUUAUUUUCUCCUCCUCUAGGAUCAAUGAUACACAUUAGAGAGGUGGCUGGUAGGGGACCAGUGUGGCAGCCUCUUGUCCCCAGACUAAGCAAAACCAUCUGGCCCUCGGAGGAAUUGAACCCAUAUUAUCAACCUCAAUUAGCACCAUGUUUUACUCAAUUGAAGAAAUAAAAGUUGCAAUUAAUUCAACUGUCCUCGUCUUAGUCAUUAUCAAUUGCAAUAUUCUAUCCUUAUUUAGCUUCUAAAACCCAAAAGUUCAUGCUCCCGGACAAAGUACAUGGGAAAGUAUGAUAUGCCAGCAUUGUCACUAUUACAACUUGAAUGACUGCAGGAGAUUGUAUUUUUAAACUGCCUCAUCAUAGCCCUAUCCUCAAAUGUAUGCCAGGACUUCCAGAGAAGCAAAGUCACAUGGCUGUUUAUUCAAUGAGAAUUCAUGUUUAUCAUCUCUCAUCCCAAUCCUACUUCCCCUACACUAUUCUCCUGCUUGGCUCCUUGGAAAAGGAAACUGUCCUCCCUUCAGUUACAUUUUUGUCAUGUUCAAUGAGUUAAUUUUGUUGGCUCAGUUAUAUAUUUUAGUAUAAAUUAAAUUCAAGUUUCCUUUAUUUGAGUCUUUGGGCCAGUUGCAUUGCUUUAUACUUUCUGGUGUUCUCAAUUUCAACUUUGCUAGCAUUUAGAAGGCAAAGGCACUGUCUAGCAGAAGUAAUAAUCCUUUUAACUACCUAAUUGCUUCUGUUGGUUACCGCCGUUUGUCUUCUAGACUCAAGGCAUUGACUCUAGAUGACUUCCAAC
Molecule: long non-coding RNA, 982 nt
Filed under: Homo sapiens (human)
Lineage: Eukaryota; Metazoa; Chordata; Mammalia; Primates; Hominidae
Description: HSALNT0135370
Source: RNAcentral